UACGGAGGGUGCGAGCGUUGUCCGGAAUCACUGGGCGUAAAGGGCGCGUAGGCGGCCCGGCAAGUCUGUGGUGAAAGCUCAGGGCUCAACUCUGAGUCGGCCACGGAUACUGCGGGGCUCGAGCACGGUAGAGGCAGGUGGAAUUCCGGGUGUAGCGGUGGAAUGCGUAGAGAUCGGGCGGAACACCAGUGGCGAAGGCGGCCUGCUGGGCCGGCCCUGACGCUGAGGCGCGAAAGCCAGGGGAGCGAACGGA
Molecule: ribosomal RNA, 253 nt
Filed under: uncultured bacterium
Lineage: Bacteria
Description: partial 16S ribosomal RNA
Rfam family: Bacterial small subunit ribosomal RNA
Source: RNAcentral